CUUUGAUCUCUUCUCUGCCAAUAAAGCACGAUAAUAUGACUUUAAAACACACCCUAGAAGGCCUACUCUAUAUGAUAAGCGAUACUAUGACACACAUUGUCUUAUUUAUGGAUAAUAUUCAUAAAAUAUCAGGGUUUAAAAAAAGGCAAACUGAGUAAAACAUCCAAUUGAAGGACACACCCAUCAGUAGAAUCAAUAGAUUUUAGACAAACUGACUCUGGAAAGUAUCCUAACAUAAAUAAGUUUAGACUGUCAGCAAAUGGCCCUCCAUAUGGAGAGCCUGUGCCACAGAGUGCAGCAGCUGUUUGACUCUAUUAGAAGCUCCAAACUCCACAUUUCAGAUAUGUGCUGCAAAGAGGCUAAAGCACGUUAGCCUAGCACUCAAUGCUUUAAUCCUCGAGCACACAUGUUCAUGAACAAAAGCAUUGUGCUGGAGUCAUACGAAAAUAAAUUAUAUUAAAAUAUUUUGCCGAUACAUUCAUAUAUAUAAUUUGCAUUAAAUCCAUAACUUUCCAUAAUUCAAAUGAGCUGGUUGGACAUUAUUGAUGUGGUGGCCAUGUAAUAUGCUUUGUCUGCAUAUGGAACAUUUAGUUUAGUCAUGCUUUCCUAUUCACCAUUUGCAUUUUUUUUAUUGACCUUUUAAAGCAAAAUCUUAGUGCAAACCAUGAAGAUUGAUCAAUGUCCUCAGCACAAAACACAAACAGCAGCACACAAUAUUCUGUCAGGAAGAAGAUCUAACGGGAAUAAAUACUUUGGCUUGGGUAUAAUAUCAAAGGUUACCGCAGUGCAUCACAUUUGUUCUCCUUGGCAUAUUUCUCUUCCUCUGUCUGAACACAUGGUACCUCAAACACCUGCCGCUGGUCUGGUCAUUACCUUUUUGUCUAUAAUAAAAGUCAAAGCAAUGACUUGAUGCAUGUUAGAAACCUUUACAGAUAAAUCAAAAGCAAGGCAGAUACCUUUUUGUGUACGACAUCAAAACAAUGACGACAAAGGAACACCUCUUGUUGUGACACGUGCCAUAUUUCUUUCUUUAUUUCUGCACUGAGGAAAGAACAAGACAUAGGAAAUGACAUUGCCGGUUUACUUAAAGCAGACAUGGAGCGAGCUCUGAAGGCUGUGAAAUAACGUCGGCUAAGAGCAGUCGAUGGUCUCACCACCAGGAGGACGAGACAAAAGGGCACAGCGAGCCAUGAAUCAUAUGCUGCUGUCACCCGACCCCGAGCCAUGACCCCUCGCUGUGUGACUCUUUGUUUUGGUCUUGUGUAAUGAAUGGAUCUGCUUUAAGCAUCCUUUUGCCCCAGUAUUCAAAUAAUGAUCAUAUUGUAUGACCAGAGCUUAGUUAAUUACAUCCAUGGAGAUCAGACCUUAAGAUCCAGAGGGACAGGUGGUCUUUCAACAUUCGUUUGUCCUUGUACCAAAAUAUGAACAAUUGUUGUAAAAUGAUAUUUCAGUGUUUGCCGCUAUCUUUUUCCAUGGUGCGUUCGGGCGCUGUCACUGAGGGCAAAUGCUCAGGAUUUAGGUGCUGUUCAAUUUAAAAAUAUUUGUUGUGCUCAUUCUCUGGGCAGCCACGGGUGUGAGCGUUUGGUGCCAGAGUCGGGAUUAGACACAGAGACACUUGGAGGCUGCUCCAACAGUCCUGCAGUGUGACUUUCACUUCAGCCGCUGCGACUGAGGUUGAGUCACUGGGGCAAGACGAUUCAAGAUGAUUCAAGACGAUUCAAGAUGAUUCAACCCUUCAGGAGAUCGGCCUCGUGAGACGAUUAUGACUAAACCGUCUAGAACUCAAAAACUAUAGAUUUUCUCUGGGAAUUUCACAUCAUAAACGGAGUACAAGUCUCUUUUUUUUUUUUUUUUUAAACCCUGAGGGGAAGUUAUUUGCCUGAUGCUGGCAAGGUUUUGUACCUAAAUCAAUAAUGUGCACAUAUGAGGGAAUGUGCUGGGUUGGAGCAUUUGAGCCGUUCAUCAAAAGCUCGCUGAAUAGAAAGGGUCUGAACGCACUUUGUUCUUUCCAACAUGGCGUAUCUGUGUUGAGCGUCAGGGGUCAUUCAAAGGUCACAGCGAAAGAAGAAAUGAAACAUAUUGCUCAGUGAAAAUGGUGUCCUCCCUCUUCGGCCUGUGCCCUGAAUACCGAGCGACAGGCUGCUGGCCUUAAAGCCGCAGGGCUCCGACUGCUGCUGUCAGUGAGACUGGAGACAGGAAGGAGUCCGAUGAAGAGCUUGAUACCGCUCUCAUGUCUGCAGCUAACGCAGCAGCUGAGAGGGAUAACUUAGCGUAGCUUUGAAAGCUACCAACACCUCUGAGUCUCUAACGAGCUUCGCCAGCAGAAUCAAGGGAUCGCUUCCAUGUGUCCAAGUAUGGAGUAAAUCCGUCUCUUUGUCUUUCCAGGGCGAGAAGACAUGUGGCUAACAGCUAGUAGCUAACGGAUGUACGGCACUCACACCGAGGUGAGACGUGUGUGGCUUCAUCCAGUCGUUGCAAACCCACAACCGAGUACAUCUUUAUCGUUUAUAAAAAACAAAAAGUAAUGUUAUAGUAUGCAACAAAAUGUAACCCUAACCCUAACCCAUCUGUUGGAUGUUUAAACAGGCAAAUGUUUGCUAACUAAUUUGCCACUUUGACAACUUUAUACGUUGAUUAUACAGGAAUGUUGAGUUUACAACAUCCACAAGGAGCAAACCAAAGAAUAAUACUGCCAUAAGUUGUUGAUGUACGCGAUGGAUUUUUUAAAAGUUUGGUAUUGAUUAAUCAGGAUUGUCUCGUGUGAAUGUUGGACUUGUUUUUAUGUUGAUGUUCUGUUUUAAUGUUGUUUCUAUCUUUCAUGCUUUUAUCUUUUAUUCUGUAUUAUUUUAUUGUAAGGUGACCUUGGGUGACUUGAAAGGCGCCUCCAAAUGAAAUGUAUUAUUAUUAUUAUUA
Pseudoliparis swirei is the source of this 2913-nucleotide long non-coding RNA. RefSeq lists it as uncharacterized. The record is from RefSeq and is a predicted model, not a curated record. NCBI's taxonomy places the organism in Eukaryota, Metazoa, Chordata, Actinopteri, Perciformes, Liparidae. The transcript is spliced from 2 exons.